Molecule: ribosomal RNA, 501 nt
Filed under: Dendropoma sp. 021220verm3
Lineage: Eukaryota; Metazoa; Mollusca; Gastropoda; Littorinimorpha; Vermetidae
Description: partial large subunit ribosomal RNA
Source: RNAcentral
CAAAAACAUGGCUCUUUGUGUUGAUGAUAAAGAGUCGGACCUGCUCUAUGAUUUUUGAUUAAAUGGCCGCGGUACCCUGACCGUGCAAAGGUAGCAUAAUCACUUGCCUUUUAAUUGGAGGCUGGUAUGAAUGGUUGGACGGGGGGUUAGCUGUCUCUAUUAUACUAUGAGAAUUUAAUUUAUAGGUGCAAAAGCCUAUAUUCUAUUAAAAGACGAGAAGACCCUAGCGAGCUUUAUUCUAUUCGUGAUACUGUUGAUCAGGAGAGAUUUUGGUUGGGGCGACCGAGGAAAGAAGCAUCCUUGAUUUAUAGUAUAAUUAUGGUUACAGAUCCAGCUAGUGUUGAGAGACAGGUGAGCUACCGUAGGGAUAACAGCGUAAUCUUUUUAGAGAGUUCUAAUCGAAAAAAGGGUUUGCGACCUCGAUGUUGGACUAGGAUAACCUAAGGGUGUAGAAGCUCUUAAGGGUUGGUCUGUUCGACCAUUAAAAUCCUACRUGAUCUG